CCUACGAGAGGCAGCAGUGGGGAAUAUUGGGCAAUGGAGGAAACUCUGACCCAGCAACGCCGCGUGAAUGAUGAAGGUCUUCGGAUUGUAAAGUUCUUUUCUAAGGGAAGAAGAAAGUGACGGUACCUUAGGAAUAAGCCUCGGCUAACUACGUGCCAGCAGCCGCGGUAAUACGUAGGAGGCGAGCGUUAUCCGGAAUGACUGGGCGUAAAGGGUGCGUAGGUGUUUUGGCAAGGUAGUAGCGUAACUCCAAGGCUCAACCUUGGAACUACUACUAAAACUGUUGGACUUGAGUGCAGGAGGGGCAACCGGAAUUCCUAGUGUAGCGGUGGAAUGCGUAGAUAUUAGGAGGAACACCAGUGGCGAAGGCGGCUUGCUGGACUGUAAAUGACGCUGAGGCUCGAAAGCGUGGGGAGCAAACAGGAUUAGAUACCCCAGUAGUC
This 443-nucleotide ribosomal RNA is filed under the name uncultured bacterium. RNAcentral describes it as "partial 16S ribosomal RNA". It matches the Rfam family "Bacterial small subunit ribosomal RNA", at positions 338 to 795 of the family's 1533-position model. The record is from RNAcentral.